Molecule: ribosomal RNA, 106 nt
Filed under: Aegilops tauschii subsp. strangulata
Lineage: Eukaryota; Viridiplantae; Streptophyta; Magnoliopsida; Poales; Poaceae
Source: RNAcentral
GGAUGCGAUCAUAGCAGCACUAAAGCACCGGAUCCCAUCAGAACUCCGAAGUUAAGCGUGCUUGGGUGAUAGUAGUACUAGGAUGGGUGACCUCGUGUUGCAUUCC